UAGGAGUUGCGUCCAACAUCAUUUUUGCAAAGAAUUCCAAACACUGGUCAGGAACAUCCAAUUGGACUUGGCGGCCAAUAAUCUCACACACAUCGAUAAUUUUGAGUCUGACGACCCUUCAAACAACGGCGUAUUCAUUUCUUGCAACAAUUGAUAAAAAUUUUGAGCUUCCUCAUUCGGCAACUCUUCCUGAUCGAAGUCUUGAGGUUCAUCAUAGGUCACGUUAACCCCAAAAGCAUCGCCAACCAUGUCACUGAUCAAACUAAAUUCUUCCCGGUGUUCCAUAUGUGAUCGACUGCUAGAAGCAUGUGUAGUCGUAGUCCUUUGUACAUUACUCGGCAACUGUUCUCCAUUAUAUGUCCAAACCCAGUAAUUUUUAAUGAAACCCCUUUUCUUCAAAUGACGUUCUACUUCUCCGGGUCACUAAUUAUAGGUCUACAUUCACAUUUUAGACAAGGACAUCUUACUCCUCCUUCGCUUAGACAACAUUCUUGAGCGAAAGCCCAUGUGAUAAACCCUUUAACUCCUUCCUCAAAGUUCGGUUUAAGUCCACGUCUUCCUGGAUACGUUCUAUCGUACAUCCAACUACGAUAGUAUGAAAAUAUUCCAUACUGCACAUUUACAAAAUCGUUACUAUUUUAAUUUCAAAAGUGAUAUUCCUCUAUCGUCCAAUUUAAAAAUCGUUCUAUCGUACAUCCAACUAAUUAUUACGUACAAUUUAAAAAAAUAUAUUAUACUA
RNAcentral lists this long non-coding RNA (739 nucleotides) under Lathyrus oleraceus (garden pea). Its description in RNAcentral is "Pisum sativum (pea) long non-coding RNA (PSAT_LNC028229)". The record is from RNAcentral. Lineage: Eukaryota; Viridiplantae; Streptophyta; Magnoliopsida; Fabales; Fabaceae.